AUAUCUGUGGUAGUAAAGGACAGAGCAGGAUCGAACUGCAGUGGUAUAAAGGUCGUGAGGGUACUCCUUUGAUUUCCUGUAAGUUUCUUUCAAUGCAUUAAACGUGCAUUAAUGGCAAUAUCUAAAAUACUCUUUUUUUUUGGACUACUGAUUCAAAUGCAUUUAGAUUACAUACUUUUCAUAGUUUUUCCUUCCAGAAUGUAUCCAUCUUCGAGAACCAAGGGUCUGAUGUUUCCGUGGUAUCUGUUCAACCCAAUCCAAACAUUUCCUCAGUCUUCUACAUGUCUGUGAUAUCAUAUCCACCUAGAUCUGUCUCCCUCUUGUGACUGAAAUGUCAAACACAGCUUAAGACACUUGUGACCUGCUAAGAAGAACACACCUUUUUCAUUCUUUUUGAUUUAAUGGUUAUAGGAUGGUGUCAUCAGGACAGCAUAUAAUCUGUAUUUGGAAACUGAGAGCUCAUUAACCCAGACUGUCCACUUGGUCUGAGUCUUUAGUGCAGGGGUCACCAGACACGGUCCUGGAGGGCCGGUUAGAUGCCCAGAAGAUGCCCAUCGUGGAACAUCGUAGGUGUGGUUAAAGCAUGCAGUUGAUCGAGACUGGCCCUUUAAAUCCCUCCAGCUGCCCAUCUCAGGCAUCUCCGGAGGAGACUCGGGUUUCACCAUUGAUCCAAUCAGAGAACCCAGAGUGAUAGAUUUGGAGGAAAAGCAGGAUUUUGACCAGGAUGUGGACACAGCUAUGACGCCACUGUACAAGUUCAGCAGAAUAUGAAUGAUAAAGCUCCAGUGUGUGACCCACUCUCGUAUACAUCAUUUUCUCCACCCUGGUGGCUGGAGUUCCCAUGAUCACCCUCAGCUGCACAGACCCUGAUAGAGACCACCUAAGUGCCACCAUCACCAAUGCUCUAUUAUCAUCACCAUCAGCUCUAUGAUGACUCCAACAGCAGAACCUCAUCUAUCCAUCUAUUAUACCGCUAGGUACUCAAAAGUGGUGUUGUGGACUGUUUCCAAACGAAUGGUCUGAGUCUGACAUGUAAAACCUCUUGGACUGUGGACCACCAUAGUGAGCAUCUCCUAUCAAAUAUAAAUGUUUAGCAAUAACUGACACUCACUAUCUCUUACAGUACAGAUGCAUGUAUCCAAGUUGAUGUGUCUGUUCUCCCCAGACAAGGGCACCACAGGUAUGACUCAGUCCUGGAGGGCCGGUGUCCUGCAGAGUUUAGCUCCAACCCAUUAAACACACCUGAAGCAGCUGAACAAGGUCUUGCUAGGUAUACUUGAAACUUCCAGCAGGUGCUCAACUCCGGCCCUCCAGGUUCAAGUUUGAUGACCCCUGCCUUAGGAGAAAUUCACUAAGGGAAUGCAUUUUUGUGUUGAAAAAAUUUAAAGAAGCUGUUUAAAAAAAAAAAAAAAAAAAAAAGAAGAAAAAAAGUUAAACAUUUAUUUUGCCUAUGCCUCAAGUUACCUCUCUGAAAAACUCAGUUCCAGCUUGAUGCUAUAACUCGACUGUCAAACACGGUUCUAUGCAGUGUUGGGCAGUAACCAGUUACAUGUAACUAAAUUACGUAAUUUAACAACUUAAUGUGUAAUUAAAUUAAUUACUUUUGAAAUGUUAACGAUUACAAAGGGGGGUUAAAUGGUUUUUUUUUUCACACAUACAUAAAGAGGUAUAAUAUAUGUGGUUUAAACUGUUUAUCAUGAUUUAAAUGUAUGCUACUAUGGGAGA
Cyprinus carpio (common carp) is the source of this 1725-nucleotide long non-coding RNA. RefSeq lists it as uncharacterized. The record is from RefSeq and is a predicted model, not a curated record. Lineage: Eukaryota; Metazoa; Chordata; Actinopteri; Cypriniformes; Cyprinidae.